This 253-nucleotide ribosomal RNA is filed under the name uncultured bacterium. RNAcentral's name for it is "partial 16S ribosomal RNA". It matches the Rfam family "Bacterial small subunit ribosomal RNA", at positions 524 to 776 of the family's 1533-position model. The record is from RNAcentral.
UACGUAGGGGGCAAGCGUUGUCCGGAUUUAUUGGGCGUAAAGCGCUCGCAGGCGGCUCGAUGCGUCGUGCGUGAAACACCCCGGCUCAACCGGGAGAGGUUGUCCGAUACUUCCAGACUUGAGGGCAGUAGAGGGUGGUGGAAUUCCGGGUGUAGUGGUGAAAUGCGUAGAUAUCCGGAGGAACACCAGUGGCGAAAGCGGCCACCUGGACUGCACCUGACGCUGACACGCGAAAGCUAGGGGAGCGAACGGG